RNAcentral lists this long non-coding RNA (651 nucleotides) under Homo sapiens (human). RNAcentral's name for it is "HSALNT0403495". Lineage: Eukaryota; Metazoa; Chordata; Mammalia; Primates; Hominidae. The record is from RNAcentral.
UUCCCUUGGCCACCCCGGCUGGUGUCUCACAAGGUUGCAUGCCACCAACAUCCGCUGGCUUUGAAUCCAACACAGCACCAGGACUUGCCCAGGAAUUGCAGUCCCUGUUGCCUUUCAAGUUUAUUUAGGACUUCAGAGUACUUUAACCCACAAUGGGAGAAUGAUUGGUGAAGGCUUCUAUUUGGUCAACUUGCUCUGUCUUUAUAGCCAAUUUAUAUUGAUAAGAGUUUCUCUCUAGAUACCAUUUGCGGUAUUCCUGAGUCAGAAGAGAGGAAAGGUGAUACUGCCACCCCCUGGAGUCGUCUCUCAAGAGGACUUGAUCUCUGGCCUGUGAACUGCCCCACAUGUUUCUUCUGCACAUCCUGACUCCCAGGCCUGCACAGGGGACUUCUGCACAGGCCUGACUCCCAGGCCUGACAUUUUCUGGUCUGUCUUCGCCAUGGUCUGCUAUCAACUGCAGUUUUGAAUUCUGGUUUCUCUUAUUCUUUGUCUCUAGGCAAGUCAACAGGUUCAGCAGCCAGAGUCCUAUCCUGUACUUCUCUUCACGUUGCAGACAUCCACGAAAGAGUGAGACUGUUUUCGGUUGGAUUGAAGAGCAAAUGUGUGGAAGGCACCAAGGGUCUCACUCUGUCACCUAGGCUGCAGUGCAGU